GUGAAGGAAGCGUGAGAGAAGUGACGGAAGUAGAAUGUCCUAAACAUACUCUCCCGUGUCCAGUCCGCGCAACGCAUGAUGUCGGUUAGGGAGGCGCCUGCCAAGAAGGCUUGGGAUGCUGCCGCCCCUCUGACCGAAUGCGCUCCGAAGCCUGAGUCGACUCCUGCUAACCUUAAAAGCCAGAGAACCCAUCUGGCCAGGGUUAUAGUAGACACCGGUCCGUGAG
Molecule: non-coding RNA, 226 nt
Organism: Pelobates cultripes (western spadefoot toad)
Lineage: Eukaryota; Metazoa; Chordata; Amphibia; Anura; Pelobatidae
Source: the annotation of a GenBank genome assembly